RNAcentral lists this ribosomal RNA (636 nucleotides) under Nebria perlonga. RNAcentral describes it as "partial large subunit ribosomal RNA". It matches the Rfam family "Bacterial large subunit ribosomal RNA", at positions 1861 to 2736 of the family's 2925-position model. Lineage: Eukaryota; Metazoa; Arthropoda; Insecta; Coleoptera; Carabidae. The record is from RNAcentral.
GUCCUUUAGAUUUUAAUUUAAGGUCUAACCUGCCCACUGAAUUUAAUUUAAAUGGCCGCAGUAAUUUGACUGUGCAAAGGUAGCAUAAUCACUAGUUUUUUAAUUAAAAGCUUGUAUGAAGGGUUGGACGAGGUAAAAUCUGUCUCUAUUUAAUUUAAUUUAGAAUUUAACUUUUAAGUCAAAAGGCUUAAAUUUAAUUAAAAGACGAGAAGACCCUAUAGAUCUUUAUAAUUUAUUUAUUAAAGUUAAUUAAGAAUUUUUUAAAUUUUAUUAAUGUAAUUAUUUUAUUGGGGUAAUAUAAAGAUUAUAAAAAUUCUUUUUUUUUAUUUACAUUAAUUUAUGUUUAUAUGAUCCAGUUUUAUUGAUUAUAAGAUUAAGUUACCUUAGGGAUAACAGCGUAAUUUUUUUAAAGAGUUCUUAUCGAUAAAAAAGUUUGCGACCUCGAUGUUGGAUUAAAGAUUAUUUUAGGUGUAGAAGCUUAAAAAUUUGGUCUGUUCGACCAUUAAAUCUUUACAUGAUCUGAGUUCAGACCGGCGUAAGCCAGGUCGGUUUCUAUCUUUAGUUAAUUAAAAUAUUUUAGUACGAAAGGACCAAUUAUUUAAUAUAUAUAUAUUUAAUUUUUUUGAUUAUUAUUAA